AAAACGUAUUUGAGAUUUGCAGGGUACAAAUGGCGGAGACUAGCAAGUAACGAAAACAAAUAAUACCGUAAAAUACGGACGAAGUUUAAGAAUUUGGUAUCGAGUUCUUUAAAUGAAAAUACGGAUGAGUUCAGCCCGCUCACUGCGUUGUGAUAUUUGCACAAAAAAAGCGAGGAAGGGGAUGCGGGUAGGUGGAAGAAAAAAGAAAAAGACUAUUCCAAAGCAAGGGAAUAAGGAACGGAAGCUGAAACAAAAAGAAACGAAGGUUCCAGGAGUAUGUAAGGGGUUAAACUGUACAGACUGCAAUCACAGAAAAACCGUGGGAAUGGAUGGACGGGAUGAAAAAAUAAAAUAACAAUAUCCCUGACGAUAUCGAGAAAUAAGGAAACGAGAUUCGAUCUCUGCUUGGAGUUGAAAAAACGUGGAUUCAACGGAUCGACUUGGUAAACAAAGAUUUGCCAACAAAAUAAAAGAGCUUAGUCGCACAAAAAGAGUACUUGGAACAAGUAGGUACGUAUGAUACUAAGAAAAACUUAACUGUGAAUGAGGAAAAGGAGGUCUUCUUCAAUACGUUUCUCGAGUGUUAUAAGAAGAAGGAUGAAAUGAUGAGCCAAACGAUUGCUUGUUAUUUCUUUGAAUACACAAAGAAUGCAAACAAUGAGUUAGUGUCGUUCAACAAUAAUAACGCUAUAGCAAUAAGAAUAAGGUCACUGCAAACAAUCGCAAGUCACCUGGCACGAAAAUACACGAGACCGAAAAUGGCCUGAUACCGACUUUAAAAACAAAAAAAAAGAUCCGAUAUAUUGUAGAAAAUCAGCUGAAAAAUUCUCGCACCGUUGGGAAUUGCCGGAACGGUAUAUAUACUCUCACUUUUCUUUUAUAGCGUCAUUUCCAAACUUGCAUAUAGCGGAAAUCAUGUCAUGCUUCCGAAUCUGGGGAUAAGGUAACGGAAGCCAUGGUGCGGGACCCGCGUUUUCGUAUGUAUGGUUGAAACAAGAACGUUAUGUUAAAAUGUAAACAAAAAAUAAUAAUAGCAACGCUGGUCACCAAGCGUAAAUAUUAAGAGAAAGCGAUUGCGCAAAAAGUCAACCGUAUGAAACCAGGUUGAAAAGGAAAGUUUGCAUUGCUUUUCGAUAGCGACUAAUGUAAUCCGUACGACUCUAAUGAAUUUUUUAUACUCUUCCACUCUUACCCUUGUUUUAAGGUAUUGUAUGGUAAUAAAGUUCGUGCGACAUGUUAUAAUUAUUAAGUAAUAUUGUGAGCGCUUCCUUUGUGCGCGCUGAGCAUUUCUUGGAAUUUUGUUGAUCAAAUAUUGGCAUGGAAAGCGGUGGACAAAUCCAAAAUCCCCAAAAUAAAUACCUCAACGGAGUUCUCUAUCAAUGCGAAUUCUGCCAGAAAUUGAUCGGUCCUUUCUUAGGGGCGUAUAUACUUUCCGAACUUUCAUGGUUUCCUUUUCUUCCUAUUCGGCUCAAGUUUCAUCAUUUUUACUUGCGGUUCCAAAGGAUUUGCCAUCGAUGAACAGUACGCGCCAAUUUUUCAAUCGGUCUGUGAUUUACUAACGUCUUUUUCCAUGUUUUACCGCAUAUUUUAUUGAAUUAUCUAAGGAGGAAAAAUGCAAUUGAAUUUGCAGUCGACUUGGUGUUCACCGUAAUGUCUGAUAAUUUCAUGUCCGACAUAAAAAAAAAGAAAAGCUGUGUUUCAUUUUGAUCCGUUUAAUGCUUUAUUUUUUCAUUCCCUUUGCUUUUGCUACCGAAACUGUCGGCAAACACCACCGUUCAUUUCAUAUUCGUCAUUUACCGAAUUUUUUUUCAUCCCGCAAAUCGUCGAUCUCAUAAUUAUCGGGUAGCGUUUGAACGAUUAAAAACAUAUAAGCAUCAUCCCAAAUCGAUUUAAGCAUUAAACACUACACCCUAAUCUUGUCCUACAAACAUACUAUAAAAUCAAUGCGACAAUACAAACACUUUACAGUACAGUGACUUUUUGUGAGCUCGUCACAAUUCCCGCAGGCGGGCAUUACCCUCAUUUCUUCCCGAAUAUACUUUGAUUACACUAAUAACUAUUUACAAAUAAAUUGAUCAAAUUUCUUAUUGACCACAAAUUCUAAACAUGAAAACUUUAACGAAUGUAGUGAAAACAAGUAAAUGUACAUACCAAACAAAAGUGUAAAAUAAAAUAAAACAAAAAGUUCUUUUAAGGCCCAAUCAGUUAAAAUGGCACAGAACCAGAAGAUACAGUACAAGUUUCAU
RNAcentral lists this long non-coding RNA (2246 nucleotides) under Schizosaccharomyces pombe (fission yeast). The record is from RNAcentral. Lineage: Eukaryota; Fungi; Ascomycota; Schizosaccharomycetes; Schizosaccharomycetales; Schizosaccharomycetaceae.